UGGGGAAUAUUGCACAAUGGGCGCAAGCCUGAUGCAGCCAUGCCGCGUGUGUGAAGAAGGCCUUCGGGUUGUAAAGCACUUUCAGCGAGGAGGAAGGUGGUGAGCUUAAUACGCUCAUCAAUUGACGUUACUCGCAGAAGAAGCACCGGCUAACUCCGUGCCAGCAGCCGCGGUAAUACGGAGGGUGCAAGCGUUAAUCGGAAUUACUGGGCGUAAAGCGCACGCAGGCGGUUUUGUUAAGUCAGAUGUGAAAUCCCCGGGCUCAACCUGGGAACUGCAUUUGAAACUGGCAAGCUAGAGUCUCGUAGAGGGGGGUAGAAUUCCAGGUGUAGCGGUGAAAUGCGUAGAGAUCUGGAGGAAUACCGGUGGCGAAGGCGGCCCCCUGGACGAAGACUGACGCUCAGGUGCGAAAGCGUGGGGCAGCAAACAGGAUUAGAUACCCUGGUAGUCCACGCUGUAAACGAUGUCGAUUUUGGAGGUUGUGCCCUUGAGGCGUGGCUUCCGGAGCUAACGCGUUAAAUCGACCGCCUGGGGAGUACGGCCGCAAGGUUAAACUC
This 557-nucleotide ribosomal RNA is filed under the name uncultured bacterium. RNAcentral's name for it is "partial 16S ribosomal RNA". It matches the Rfam family "Bacterial small subunit ribosomal RNA", at positions 355 to 902 of the family's 1533-position model. The record is from RNAcentral.